Mycena albidolilacea is the source of this 104-nucleotide non-coding RNA. The record is from the annotation of a GenBank genome assembly. Lineage: Eukaryota; Fungi; Basidiomycota; Agaricomycetes; Agaricales; Mycenaceae.
GGCUCGGUGGCAGAGGGUCUGCAUCUGUAACACGUUCAAAGCAGAAAUGACGUGUAUUUCAACAGUGUCAGAACUCAAUGCUCGUUCGAAUCGAGCCCGAGCCA